RNAcentral lists this unclassified non-coding RNA (176 nucleotides) under uncultured Ascomycota. Its description in RNAcentral is "sequence contains ITS1". The record is from RNAcentral. Lineage: Eukaryota; Fungi; Ascomycota.
AAGAGUCAUACGUGCAGCUGAGUUCGCUUGGUUGCCGUAACACUCCACCCUUUGUUUACAUUACCUUUGUUGCUUUGGCAGGCCCGCUCUCGGGCCACCGGCUUCGGCUGGUCAGUGUCUGCCAGAGGACCUAAAACUCAUGUUAAUAAUAUUGUCUGAGUACUAUAUAAUAGUUA